RNAcentral lists this transfer RNA (73 nucleotides) under Chlamydoselachus anguineus (frilled shark). Its description in RNAcentral is "tRNA-Lys". It matches the Rfam family "tRNA". From Rfam's summary of the family: Transfer RNA (tRNA) molecules are approximately 80 nucleotides in length. Their secondary structure includes four short double-helical elements and three loops (D, anti-codon, and T loops). The record is from RNAcentral. Lineage: Eukaryota; Metazoa; Chordata; Chondrichthyes; Hexanchiformes; Chlamydoselachidae.
CACUAAGAAGCUAAAUUAGGUUCAGCGUUAGCCUUUUAAGCUAAAAACUGGUGAUUCCUACCACCCUUAGUGA